RNAcentral lists this ribosomal RNA (277 nucleotides) under uncultured bacterium. Its description in RNAcentral is "partial 16S ribosomal RNA". It matches the Rfam family "Bacterial small subunit ribosomal RNA", at positions 793 to 1055 of the family's 1533-position model. The record is from RNAcentral.
GUCCACGCCCUAAACGAUGUCAACUAGGUGUUGGGAGGGUAAAACCUUUUAAGUUACCGGAGCUAACGCGUGAAGUUGACCGCCUGGGGAGGUACGGCCGCAAGGUUAAAACUACAAAGGAAUUGACGGGGACCCGGCCACAAGCGGUGGGAUGAUGUGGAUUAAAUUUCGAUGCAAACGCGAAAAACCUUAACCUACCCUUGACAUGUCCAGAAGCUCUUAGAGAUUUGAGUGUGCCCGAAAGGGAGCUGGAACACAGGUGCUGCAUGGCUGUCGU